AGUGGAUUAGUUUUUAGAAAGUUCCUUACCUCUCUAAGAAUAUUAUUAGGACAAUGAACUUAAGCUCAUUAUUCUAACAAGAAACAACAAGAUCUAACAAGAAACCUCUCUCACAAAAACUGAAAAAGGCCCAAUGAACUGAUAUAAGGAGUAUAUCAAAUAGACCCCUGAGCAGUGGAAGUCAGUUAUUUUCUUGGAUGAGAACUUCAACCUGCAUGACUCAGAUUGAAAGAAAUGAUUUACUAUAGACAUAGUAAAUAUUAGUUAGUUUUACUUUAUUUCCACUUUUUAUACUGUUUUCUCAUUUAAACUAAGAACUUUGGAAACAAGUACAUACGAUAGCAGUUGUGCUUAUAGCAUUAUGUGGUUAUGUGCUUAGGUGGCUAACCGAGAGACUACUAGAACCAUUUUGAGCAAAGUAAAAAAAAGAGUGACAGUACAUAGAGCUCCCACGGUAUGAAUAGUGUAAGGAACAAUAAAGAAAAGAGGAGCCAAAUGCAGAGGUCAGGAGUAUAUAGGAUCCCUGUUAAGCUGGAAGAAAGCAACCAAACCUCCUCAUACAUAGGGGUCACUAAGAGGACGUUACAACAGAGGUUAAAGGUAGUACCAAAGAGAUGUGGCAACAGGGGCCACCAAUACUGCCUUAGCAGAAGCAGUGUAUGCCUCACAGGUAGAGAUAGGUUGGGAAGAGGUGAAGAUUAUAAAACCAAUAGCCAAGGAAUCGCAUGCAC
RNAcentral lists this long non-coding RNA (731 nucleotides) under Androctonus crassicauda. The record is from RNAcentral. Lineage: Eukaryota; Metazoa; Arthropoda; Arachnida; Scorpiones; Buthidae.